Molecule: ribosomal RNA, 449 nt
Filed under: uncultured bacterium
Lineage: Bacteria
Description: partial 16S ribosomal RNA
Rfam family: Bacterial small subunit ribosomal RNA
Source: RNAcentral
GUGGGGAAUAUUGGACAAUGGGCGAAAGCCUGAUCCAGCCAUGCCGCGUGUGUGAAGAAGGUCUUCGGAUUGUAAAGCACUUUAAGUUGGGAGGAAGGGUAGUACCUAAUACGUUGCUACUUUGACGUUACCGACAGAAUAAGCACCGGCUAACUUCGUGCCAGCAGCCGCGGUAAUACGAAGGGUGCAAGCGUUAAUCGGAAUUACUGGGCGUAAAGCGCGCGUAGGUGGUUCAGUAAGUUGGAAGUGAAAUCCCCGGGCUCAACCUGGGAACUGCUUUCAAAACUGCUGAGCUAGAGUACGGUAGAGGGUGGUGGAAUUUCCUGUGUAGCGGUGAAAUGCGUAGAUAUAGGAAGGAACACCAGUGGCGAAGGCGACUACCUGGACUGAUACUGACACUGAGGUGCGAAAGCGUGGGGAGCAAACAGGAUUAGAUACCCUAGUAGUCC